Molecule: long non-coding RNA, 10498 nt
Organism: Passer domesticus (house sparrow)
Lineage: Eukaryota; Metazoa; Chordata; Aves; Passeriformes; Passeridae
Exons: 2
Source: RefSeq, a predicted model, not a curated record
CCUGUCUCCCCAGUCUCCUUUCUGGGAGGGCUUUUCCUCCUCUUCCGUUUGCCCGCAGUCUGGGAAUCAAAGAAUCCUUAUCAGUGCUUCCUUCCUCUCAGAAAGCUGGAAUUCGCAGUGUCCACCCCAAAUGUCUAUUGGCCUAAGCAAAUUCUUCCAAACCCCGAAGAGCUGAGAAAAGGGCUGGAUAUGGCAGGGGGCUGCAGCAGGCUGCCAACGAUGGAGGUUGGAGGAAAAUACUCCCCUUUACCACAGCUCUAAGGGGGUGGGAUAAAUACGUGGCUAUCUCUAGUUCCUCAUGUCUUAUUUCUACCUCUCUGCCUAACAUCUAUUUAUCUCUGGUUUUCCUCCCCACAUGUCUAGGGCAUGGCUUUGACAUUCAGUCAAACUAGUGAAGACACAUGAUUACCCAUUUUCUGCUACCCAAAAUAAUCUCUCUCUCUCUGUCUCUCUCUGUGAAGCAAAUUGCUCUUUGCUGCUAAGGAAAGUAUUAAAGGUGCCAUAGCACCGGCAGCUCCUUCUUGGGAUACGCUGUGGUGCUACAAAAGAUCUCUAAAAUUUGGCAGCAUCUCCAUGAAGGCGGCCCAGAUGGCUGAUGUUAGCAAGCAGUGGGGAAUGAAAGGUCUGAUUGGAAUCUGAGGGUGCCAGCCCUUGAGAAACUGAUUUGUAGAGAGUCAAAGCCCAUUUUGGUGGUGGUGCUGCUGCUUUGUUGGGUCAACGUUCUGCUCCAGAAUUCCGUAUUUUAGGCUAGCAGCAUAACGAAGCCUUGGGCAGCAUCUGCUGCACCUUUCCCAGUACAUGGGACUGUGAUUGGUGUUACCAGUCACAGCCAGAAGAUCUGCCUUCUGAUUCCCCAGUGGGAGACAAGCCAAACCAACUUGCAGAGCAAGCCAAAGAAUUGUUGAUUAGACACUUCUUUUAGCAUGGAGUGUUCUGCCCUUUUAGCUGUCCUGGUUAUAUAGGCCAAAUCAGUUACUAGAUUAAAAGGUUGUUGGAAUUUUUUAAAUGCUCUGACAUCAGCAGCCAACUCAGGAAUUUGGGGGGUUCCUUCAAUGACUUGAACAUCCUACUCCCACUUCUGAGUGUUUGGAUCCUUCCAAGUGAUAACCGAUUUGUGUGAUUUUCCAGAGCGAUCUGUAAAAACUGUGAGGGCUUUAAGAGGAACCUUACCUUUUAGAGAAUUUGGGACUAGAUGGAAUGUUUCUUUUAGUAGCUUGUGUUUUGGAUAAUGAAUAGAGACUUGUCCGGGAUAGCUGUCUAAAUCAAACUGAAGGUAUCCAUUUGUCUGUAAUAGCGAUUCUAAUUUGUGUAGUUGAAAUGCUGGAUAAAUGUAUGUUGGGUCACACGCUGCAGGGGUUCGGAGGUGGUUCCUGUCUUUAAUGAUUAACUGAGCUAAAAGCUCUUGAGGGAUUGUAAUAGUUUUUUUGGUGUGGCAAAAAUACCCAUUCUACAAUUAACAAUUUUUCUGUAGAAGACGGGUCCCACUGAAAAAGCAGUGCCUGGAAAUGUGGGGAUUUACCAAGACUAGCAAACUGGGAGGUUAGAGAGCAGUCAGCGCGGUGUGCUUUUCGAGAUGAGAUAGCAGGUGCUACCUUUUGCAGCGCGUCGUGGGCAUCUGGAGUUAAGAUGCGCUGGGAAGUCAGGUCAUGGCUCCCCUUCAGUAGGCUGAACAAAGGGCACAGCUCUUCUCUCGUGAGUCCAAGCAGUGGUCGGAUCCAGGUGAUGGAGCCACACAACUGUUGUAUGUCCCUUAGCAUUUGAGCCUUAUCUUUGAUGGAGAUAUUUUGGGGAAUAAUGGCUCACCCGCUGAUAAGGAAUCCAAGGUACUUCCACAGGGAGGUCUACUGGGUUUUUCAGGAGCAAUAUCAAAACCUGCAUCUUCAACUGCUGUCACAGUCUUUCUGAUCACUGGGUUAAGGUAAGUCUUUUCUUGGGAGCAAAUUAAAAUGUCGUCCAUAUAAUGCCGAAAUAUAGCUUCAGGGAAGGCUUUCCUGAUUGGAGAUAGAAUCCCAGCCACAAACAUUUGACAUAAAACAGGGGAAGUUUUCAUUCCCUGUGGCAAUGUGACCUAAUGAUAUCUUUUAAAGGGUUCUUGACAGUUGAUUGGUAUCGAAAAUGCGAAUUUGGGAGUGCGGGACAGAGAGGGAUGUUGAAUAAACAGUCUUUGAUAUCAAGGAUUGUGAGCUGCCAGUCCCUGGGAAGUACAGAAGGUGAGGGGAGCCCUGGUUGCAAGGAGCCCAUGUCUUCUAAAACAUCAUUUACUUUCCAAAAGUCUUGUAAUAACCUCCAUCUGUCUUUGCCAGGUUUUUUAUAAAAAGACAUGGGUCAGGAGCUAGUUGAUGGUACAAUGUGUCCUUUUAAUAAUUGUUCCUGUACUGAGGCAUGGAGCACUUCUAAUUUGUCAUUUGGAAGGCCCAAUGAUCCACCCACACAGGAUCAUACCCACAGGGAGGGAUCAUACCUUUUCCCACAGAUGGACAACAGCCAUAUUGAGUGGUUUAGUUUUCAUUUCUUUUUAAUUCCCAAAGUUUCAUUUUUUUCAACAUUGUAAUACAGCAUCUCUAUUCAAAUCAUUAUACUCACCUUGGUUAAUUAAAUAUUUAUUAAUUUAUUUUGCCCCCAUAAUAUCAGACAAAAGCAUAGGACAAAAGCAUAGGAAGAACAACAAGCAAUUACAGAAAUACAGUAUCUUCCCUGAAAAUCCCUUGGAAACCAUGUUAAAACAAUGGGAAGAACAUCAACUUACUAAAGAUAAAGACCCACAGCUCAAGAUUGUGCAUUGCAUGUUAGAAUGGCCAAAGAAGAAAUUAAAACAAGGUCUUCGCUGGCUGAAGCAUGGGUCUACCAGGAUGUGGAUUUGCGAAGUACUUUACAAUUACGCCCAAAAUAAAUUAAAUGCAGACUGGAAUUGCAGUAUGUGGAGGUCUGGUUUAAAUAUUGGAACAGCGAAAAGGAAGUAGAAACAGAUAAACCAAAUUCUCUCUGUAAUGAUCAAUGAUAAAGACACAACAAGGAAAACCAAUCAACCAAGGUGGGACUCAUUAAAUUUCCUCCCCCCUACUGCACCUCCCAACGAACCAGCUGCAACUGCAGCUGAGUCAUUGGAGGCUUCAAUGAGUCAUGUAACUGAGAGGGCUGAAGAAAUUGAAAGUAGCAGUGGGACAUCAGAAGAAACGUAUAUUCUAUCAUUCUCCUCCAGGCAAAUUACAAAUUCAGCCAUGCAGGAAGUUCCAUCCAAUCAAGAAGGUCCAGCCUUCUUCACUUGAAGGAGAACCCUGGUAGUACAAAAAUGUUCCUCCUGCUCCAGCAGUAAAGAUAAAACAAAGGUGGCAUCCCUCAGAGAGGUCCCAAUGGAGGGUGCACAAGGUGGAAUAGGAUAUGUAAAUGCACCCCUCACCUCUUCAGAAGUGAGGCAUUUUAAAAAGGAAAUGGAGAUAUUAUUCAGUGACCCAGUAGGUAUGUCAGAAAAAGUUUACCAGUUCUUAGGCUCUAGGAUUUACCCUAGGGGAAAAUGAAAUUCAAUAAUGCAAACCCUUUUCUCUCCAGAGAAGAGAAAAGUUAUUUAGACUGCAGGGAUCAAUAUAUUGGACAGAGAACAUAAUUUAGGAACAACUGGAGAGAAGAAAUUACCAUUAACAGAUCCAGAAUGGAACCCUAACUCAGAUGAGGGAAGAAAAAGUAUAGCAGAAUACAGAACCCGAAUUGUAAGGGGAAUAAAAGAGGCAGUCCCCAGAGUUAAUAACAUGAAGAAAGCCUUUGGUAGCAAACAAUAAAAACAUGAGAGCCCAACUGACUGUAUAACUCGCUUAAAUAAUAACAUCCAAUUAUAUUUAGAAAGAGAUUUAGGUAGUGAAGGAGGGAAGACAAUGUUCUAGGUCCACUUUGGGUUACAUUCUUGGCCUGACAUAAAACAGAAAUUAGAGAAAUUAGAUGGAUGGCCAGAAAGAAGUUUAGAUGAGUUAUUAGCUGAAGCACAGUAAGUUUAUGCCAGGUGAAAUGAAGAGAAAAUGAAGACUAAAGCUAAGAUGAUGGCUGCUGUCCAAAUUCCUAAACCAAUUAGGCAGGAUGGGGAGAAUAUUCAAUUGAAGAAACCUAUUUGCUUUUAUUGUAAGAAAGAAGACCAUAUGCAAUCCUGCUGUUUUAAGACAUUGAGGGACUUAAGAGAUUCUCCAAGUGGAGAAUCAACCCUCAGAGAACUGAGGGGGUCAGGGGCUCUUCUUCUUGGGGCACAAAAACCAUCUUCAAGAGCCCUUGAUAAAAUCAAGGAUAGGACCCCUAGAACAAUUAAUGGAAUUUUUAGUAGACACAGGAGCAGAGACAACUUGUUUAACUGAAAAACCAAAUGCAUGUGCCAUAAGCAAAGACACUUUCAAUAUUUGUGCUGCUAAAGGGGAAUCCUUCCCCAUUCCCAUCAUUAAGAAUGUCACUAUAAAGGGUAAUGGACUAACCAGAAAGGGAGAUUUGUUUUUCUACCUCCAGCAGGUAACAACUUACUUGGCCAGGAUCUCCAGAUACCUUUGAAAGUUGGAGUAGUUCCACAAGAAGGAAGGAUGAAGGUCAUUUUGUUUACUUUAUCCACACAAGAUGAAAACUGAUUAAUCCUACAGUGUAAGCCCAACCAGAUUCUCCUUCUAGACACCUGUUUGCUUCCACCUGGGAAGAUCCAGACACUGGAAGGAAACAGCAGCUCACCUGGACCUGGUGACUGCAAGGGUACAUGGAGUCUCCCACACUCUUCGGUCAAGCCUUGGAGAGCCUGUUCAUUCCCUUUUCUCCACCCUCAGGAAUACAAGUAACACAGUAUGUAGAUGACAUACUACUCUCCAGAGAGCAAGAAUCCACUGUAAAAUUAGGCACCAUUCAGUUACUGAACCUUCUAGGAGAGAAUGGACUAAUAGUAUCUAAAUCCAAAUUACAAUUUGUUAAACCAAAGUAAAAUAUUUCGGACAUGUAAUUGGUCAUGGUACCAGAAAAUUGAGUACUGAAAGGAUAGAAGGGAUUUUAAAUUUACAACCUCCCCAAACAAAGAGCGAGGUUAGACAAUUAUUAGGCUUAAUGAGGUACUGUAGAAUAUGGAUUGAUGAAUACACACAAAGUGUCACAAUUUUAUAUGAAAAAUUAACUACAUCAGAACCUAUUAAUUGGACCCAAGAGGAUAAUAAAAACUUAGAAAAUUUAAAGCAAAAGAUGAUUCAGACCCCAGUUCUCUUUCUUCUUUCACUAGAAGAAGAUUUUCACCGCUAUAUUAACAUAGACAAAGGAAUUCCUUAUGAGGUCUUGGCCCAAGAGUGGUCAGGAAUCCAUAAACCUGUAGCCUACUUGUCCAUAUUGUUGGUCCCUGUGUCCCAAGGAUGGCAAACAUGCAUCCAACCAAUCACUGCAGCAGCCAUCCUAGUAACAGCCAGCCAAAAACUUACAUUUGAGAGAAAUCUGACAGAAUACAUACCACACUCCACCCAAACCAUUCUUAAACAACGAGCAGCCGAAUGGCUAACAGACUCUCAUAUUAUACAAUAUGGGAGCACCCUCAUCCAUUCCACAACUGUAACCCUGAAAACAACCACCCACACCAAUCCUGCACAGUUCCUAUGUGGAAUUCCCCAAAAACAAGAUCUCGUGCACAACUGCAUAGUUUUUAUAAACCUGCAAACAAAAAUUCAAGAAGACCUCCUAGAGAGCCCAUUAGAUGAAGGAGAAAUCCUGUUCAUCGACGGAUCAUCUAGAGUAGUAAAUGGAAAGAGGUGCUCUGGAUACUCCAUCAGAGAUGGAAAAGAACUGUACAGGUUAGAAAAGGAAAACUACCACCUUCCUGGUCUACCCAGGUAUGUGAAUUAGAUGCUUUGGAAAAAGCAUUGCACAGACUAGACAGAGCUAUUGGAACCAUUUAUACGGACUCUAAAUAUGCAUAUGGAGUAGUCCACACGUUUGGGAAAAGCUGGGCUGAAAGAGGGUUUCCCACAUCUAAGGCCAAAGACAUUUUACACAAAGAACUUAUAUUAAAAAUUUUAGAGGCACUUAAGUUACCGAAAGAAAUUGCAAUGGUACGUGUUCCAGGUCAUCAAAAGGGAACUCUGGAGAAACCAGAGGAAACAUCCUAGCAGACCAUGCUGCAAAGGAGGCUGCUUUUGAGGGGGAAUUAAAGGUAUACAGAUUUUAUCCAAGAGACACACCCGAGAGUACACCAGAUAACACCCUUCCUAUCCCUAUUUUUAAAGACAAUGAAAAACAGAAACUCAUAUCACUAGCUGGAAAGGAAGAUUCUGAGGGAUGGUGGCAUCUUCCUGAUGGCCAUUAAAUGUUAAAUAAAGAGCUCACUCGAGAAAUUUUACAGAACCUCCACCAAUCCACACACUGGGGAUCUAAAGCUUUAGCAGAUCACUUUCUUCAGAAUUUUGGAUGUCGGGGAAUUGAUUAAUUAGCUAAUCAAAUUACCAUAGGUUGUAUAAUUUGCCAAAAAGUCAAUAGAAAAUUAACGAGGAGAACGAGACCUGGAAGAAUUGAAAUUGCAAUUAGACCCUUCCAAAGUAUUCAAAUUGAUUUCACAGAAAUGCCCCAUGCCCAAAGAUGGAAGUAUUUCUUACUGAUUGUAGAUCACCUUACCAAUGGGGUUGAAGCAUUUCCACUGUUAAUGCCACUGCUCAAACAGUAAGUAAGGUAAUCCUAGAAGAGAUAGUCCCAAGAUAUGGAAUUAUAAAUAACAUUGAUUCAGACCAAGGUACCCAUUUUACAUCAUUAGUAUUGCAGCAGUUGGCUCAACAAUUAGGAAUAACUUGGAAAUUACAUACCCCUGGCACCCUCAAAGUUUGGGAGGGGUAGAACGCAUGAAUCAGACUAUUAGAACAACCCGGACCAAACUGAUGUUAGAAAUGAAGUGGACUUGGAUAAAAUGCCUACCCCUUGCCCUUCUCAGAAUCCAGAGCUAACCCAGAGCUGACUUAGGUUGUUCCCCAUAUGAAAUGUUAUACAGGCUUCCCUAUUUAGCCACCCCGCAUCAAGUAACUGCCAAAGAGUGAGGAAAUAUAAAUGUGCAAAGGGAUAUUCAAAUGAUUGCCCAGAAUCUAAAAGACUUAAAGCAGAGAGGUCUUGUACCCCAGAACAUUCCUUUAGACUUCUAUUUACAUAAGAUAUGCCCCAGAGAGUAGGUACUUAUUAAAUGCUGGAAGGAACAAUCCCUGACUCCAUCAGGGGAAGGUCCUUUCCAAGUUCAACUGACCACAGAGACAGCCAUCCGAGCACAGGAAAAAGGGUGCACUUCCGUCAGCCGAGUAAAAGGUCCAGUAACACCACCGCAAGAUAACGAGAAACCUCCAUGAACUACUCUCUACAACAGUCCUCCCCGGUGUUAUUCCUGAAAUUAUUAUAUCAAUUGUUAUUCUCUCACUGUUUUACAGUAGAGAAUCUAAUGGUUAUUGUACUUACUUUUUAACAAGUUAUUAUGAAUUUUCAAUUCCAUUUCUCCACCAGUGAAGAGUAUCAUUUCCCUGAGAAAUGACCUUUCCUCUCCAAUAACUAUGUCUUUUUUUUUUUUUUUUUUUUUUUAAAUUUCCUUAGGAGAAACAACAUGAAUAGAACCAAGGCCAGUUCCAGGUAGGACUUUCCUGCAUUUAGGUCCCUUCCUGCAUCCAGGUACACUCCCAUGAAAACCAAGGGGUCUGAACCCAGUAGGAAAACCAGAGAGGUUGAAUGGUCUGCACCACCUAUCAAAGAGUACCACAGCACUUCAAUCUUCCCAUUGACCCCUGAGCGAGGGAAGGGAAGGUGCGCCCUACUCCUCAUACUCUCCCUCUGGAUCCUGUAGAUCCCCCUUGUCAGAGCCUGCAUCUGCUGCCACCAAUGCUAACAUACAGUGUACCUGACCAAAGGAAACUCCUACCUCAUAAAACACUCAUUCCAGGCACAUUCUUAUGUAAAUCCCUUUUGUUAUAAUAUGAUGACACUGAGUAGAUACUGACAAUCGGACAAAAACCAAUGGAUUGGUAGAAAUAUUGGAAAUGCAAACCAGAAAAGGAAUGGAGAGUGUCCUGAUCAAGAGAUUUGGCUAUAUGUCAAAUUUAAUUAUAUAACGAAAAAGAAGGAUUUGUUAAAAAGGAAAACUUAUGAUGUUGAUUUGAUUCGAGAAAUUGUAAUAACUGAAAGGGGGAAACAAAAGGGGGACAAUCCAUUAGCUACCGAUAAAAACUUAUUUACUGUUUUAGCAGAACAAAUUAGUAAAAAUCAAAAUAUAACCAAUUGUUGGGUUUGUGGAGGCACCUUCAAAUCAGAAGCCUGGCCUCAGCAAGGAGUCAGUAUUGGACCCCUCAAAUGACUUAAACUAAAUUAUUUCCCCUCCCAAACUCCAAGAGAUCAAGACAAUUGGCUAUUGAGGGACACAGUUCUUGGAGAAGAAUGUAUCUGGAGAAAAGGAAAAAGAUACACUGAGGAAGUUGGAGAAACUACCUGUAAAAGAUAUUUACUAACUGAGGAUCACAAGACAUGGUGGAUACUGAACGAACCAGAUACCUUUUGGUCAAAGAAGAAAAUCAGAAACAAGAACUGCAUAUUACAUCCCAAUGAACAACUUUAUCAGUGCUGGGACCCUAAAAGUCAGCCUUUAUUCAGUAUUACCCCAAGUUUCUAAGUAUUGGACCUCCACUUUUAUCACGCUUUCACAUUUUUGGGAGGCCCCCCAAGGUUUAUACUGGAAUUGUGGGCAAAGAGCAUAUUCUAAACUCCCUUCUCACUGGUGUGGCAAUUGUACCUUAGGAGCAAUACGACCUAGCCCCUUUCUACUAUCAGAAGCAGCUGGAAACCAGCUCGGAGUUCCCCUAGAUGAUAAAUUAAAGAGACAAAAAAGAUGUGAAAUAGGGGGAAUGUAACAAUGGGGUGAGGAAGAGUGGCCACCAGAGAGAAUUUUAGAAACUUACGGACCUGCCACUUGGGCUCAGGAUGGGAGCUGGGGCUAUCAAACUCCCAUUUACAUGCUAAAUCACAUUACUGGACUACAAGCCCUGAUUCACGUCAUAUCUAAUCAGGCCAAGAGUGCAAUUGAUUUUUUCAACGCCCAACAGAAGCAAAUGAAAACAGCUGUAUAUCAAAACUCUUUAGCCCUAGAUUAUUUAUUAGCCAAAGAGCGUGGAAUAUGCGGCAAUUUCAACACAUCAGACUAUUGUCUGCAUAUUGAUGACCAUGGUGAAACUAUUACUAAAAUUACCCAAAACAUCAGAAAGCUUACACAUGUUCCAGUCCAGUUUUCACCUGAUUAGUGGAAAAAUAUGUUCUCUAGGGAGUGGUAGAAGAAAGCCUUAAUUAUUUUUCGAGUUUCCUUAGUUAGCCUUCUCUUUCUCCCAUGCUUAAUCCCAUGUUUCAUUCAUCUAAUUACCUCAGUAGUACAAAGCAUGUUCGCUAGUCAAAAUCUUCAAACGAGCCAACAUUCUAUGCCUACUGUCAAGAAAAUCAUAAAUCUCAAUCCAAUCAAAACAGAUAGGAAAACGGGUAAAAAGGCCCAGCAAGUUUAGAUUAAUUUUAAACAAUUAAACACUAUCAACAAAGAACUUUUACAUUUAUGUAAAUGCAAAAGCCAAUUACUAACAUAAGAGAAAGAGGGAGGAACUGUCAUUUAUAAAAUCCCUUACAUGGCUUUUGCAUUUGUGACUGGUUUAUAUUUGUAACUGUUAAUUAGCUUUUGCAUUUAUAACUGUUUAAAGUUACUAGUUUGAUCAAGUAAAAGUGUUCAAAUUAAUGAAGUAAAUAAUAUAAAAUCAUUAUCAAGUUAUACUAGCUAUUCAGUAGAUCCCAACUGAAUGUUUAACAGUCCUGUUAAAAUAGGUAGCAAAAUAAGAACUAUAUUAUUUUUAUAAUCCUUUGUUCUUAACCUAAUUACAUUAUUUGUAAAUUUAAUUAUCUCUUUUUAGUAGCCUUAUACUUUCAAAGUUCCCAGUGCAGUUUCCUCUCACCAACAGCAUGCAGCAUUUUACAGACAAUUUCUAGCCCACUCCAGGUUGAACUGGUAACUUGAUGCCACAGCAAUGGUGCAUACUAAUGAGAGAGCUUCCCAUCAAAAACCUCAGAGAUAUCAUCCCACCCCAGUGACAGCACACUCUGGGAAAGAAGAUCUUACCCCAUCAUCUACUAGCACCAAUCACCUGAGACUAUGGGGGCAGGACUGCAAGUACAGACUGAGGGGACCGAGAACAUCAAAGGGGCAGCCUGGCCUGAAGAGCUGUCUUUGCUGUCUUUUACUGUUCCUGGGACUGUGACUUAGCUACAGCAGGGGACCCCACACUGCAGAUUUCAGUCAAUAUCUCUUUUUAGAGACCUUAUUCCAGAUUUGAGGGCAGACUAAGUGCAUUCACUGCAAUGCCCUCGGGUUCUUGCCUUGGGGCCAGACGCCAGUUCAGCUAGAGGUUUCCUCAAUCCUUGGGCCUGGGACUUUAUCCUUUUUUCUUUCUUUCCUUUCUUCUUUUUCCUUACCUCCCUUUUUGUUUUUCCCCUUUAAAUAAACACCCUAUUUUUGUUCAAA